Molecule: unclassified non-coding RNA, 253 nt
Filed under: uncultured Alphaproteobacteria bacterium
Lineage: Bacteria; Pseudomonadati; Pseudomonadota; Alphaproteobacteria
Description: contains 16S-23S intergenic spacer region
Rfam family: Bacterial small subunit ribosomal RNA
Source: RNAcentral
UACGAAGGGGGCUAGCGUUGUUCGGAAUUACUGGGCGUAAAGGGCGUGUAGGCGGCCCGUUAAGUCAGGUGUGAAAGGCCUGGGCUCAACCCAGGAAUUGCGCCUGAGACUGGCGGGCUUGAGUCCGGGAGAGGAUGGUGGAACUCCCAGUGUAGAGGUGAAAUUCGUAGAUAUUGGGAAGAACACCCGUGGCGAAGGCGGCCAUCUGGACCGGUACUGACGCUAAGGCGCGACAGCGUGGGGAGCAAACAGG